RNAcentral lists this ribosomal RNA (403 nucleotides) under uncultured prokaryote. RNAcentral describes it as "bacterial SSU rRNA". It matches the Rfam family "Bacterial small subunit ribosomal RNA", at positions 355 to 774 of the family's 1533-position model. The record is from RNAcentral.
UGAGGAAUCUUCCACAAUGGGGGAAACCCUGAUGGAGCAACGCCGCGUGCAGGAUGAAGGCCCUCGGGUCGUAAACUGCUUUUAUGGGUGAAUAAUAUGAAUGUAACCCUUGAAUAAGCACCGGCUAACUACGUGCCAGCAGCCGCGGUCAUACGAAGGUUGCAAGCGUUGUUCGGAAUCACUGGGCUUAAAGAGCAUGUAGGCGGCUCAUCAAGUACUUUGUGAAAUCCCCCGGCUCAACCGGGGAAUUGCUUGGUAUACUGUUAGAGCUUGAGGCAAGUAGAGGCGCGUGGAACUCUUGGUGGAGCGGUGGAAUGCGUAGAUAUCAAGAGGAACGCCGGUGGCGAAAGCGGCGCGCUGGGCUUGUCCUGACGCUGAGAUGCGAAAGCCAGGGGAGCAAACG